RNAcentral lists this long non-coding RNA (686 nucleotides) under Vigna radiata. RNAcentral describes it as "long non-coding RNA (VRAD_LNC004063)". Lineage: Eukaryota; Viridiplantae; Streptophyta; Magnoliopsida; Fabales; Fabaceae. The record is from RNAcentral.
UUGUGUGGGUAACCCACAAUGGAUUGAAGAGUAAAAUUAUUUGUGUGGGUCACCUUGUGAGUGUGUAAAGGGAGAUUUUCCCAAUAGUGGUAUCAGAGCUGAUGGUUCAAGACAGGGCUCAACCGAGUACGUUCACCCAUGAUUAGGUGAGCCAGGUAGGAGGCCAGUGGUCGCCGGAUGAAUCAUGAGAGGUGGGGAGAGCAAGUGAAAUGCUCAAGUGUUUGACCAUGGAUUGAGAAAGAGAAGUGAUGACCAUGGUGUACUCGAGGAGUCGAUGGUUUAUCGUUUGCCUUGGUGAUAGUUGGUAAUGUUUUCGUUGGAGGGGGAGUGAGUGAGAGUAAAAAAAAAAAAAGGAGUGAGAGAGUUAAAUAUCGGAGAAAGAAAAAAAAGGAAAAAGGGGAGAAUAAAGGAAGAAUUUAAGUUUAUGGGGGAGUUUGUUGGGAUAAAUGAUUCAUUUCAAAUCCCUAACAAAUACAAUUCCAAAACCCUACCCCUAUCUCUCACAUCACAAACGCCAAAUCAAAAACCCUUCAUGUUCCCUAAGUCACUAAACCCUAAACCUCCGCAAAAACCUAAGGUCUCCAAGAACCACUCAAUCACCAUGGUCGCUCAACCCGAAGAAGUCAUCACCCUUCUUGUCUGAACUGAUUCGUCAAUUCUUUGAAUGGGACUUUCCCUUCCUGUCU